AAUAUUAAAUCUUUGCAAUAGACAUUCUAUGUAGAAUAGAAGCCCGAUCGAUAUUUCCCCUUUCCUCUCUUUUGCAAUCCCUACCUAAUUUUUGACAUUUGCCCCCAUUUGACCAACAGAGCUUCAUUCGAGCGGCGAUUUCAACUUUCCGUCAAGAUUGGGGAGAAAACUUCACUGUCAGAGCAUUUAAGGUUAGGUACUAUUUUUCCCAUUUUGCUUUGAAUGAUAAUUAGGGCUAAUGGGAUUUUAAAUAUUGAUAUCCAUUCUUAUUUGUUCAAAUGAAUUAUGGAAUCAAUGUUUCUAUUGUGUGCUUAUUCGAUUAAAAUGAAUUAGAAGGCACUAAUAUCUUUCAAUGCAUAAGAUUUUUAUUCUCUUCUUUGGGUGUCAAUAAAUCUAGUUCAUUCUCAAAUUCUGUCAGGGUACCUACACUAAAAUAUUCUCUAGAGACAGCUUUUUUAUGAGUUUCUUUGAUUCAAACUGCUUUCUAUAGUUUUUGCCUUAUUCCCCUUUUAUGGUUGUUCUUUUUUUCCUAGUUUUGUAUGAGGCAUGUCAUUUCUUCUGUUUUAUUUGAAGCAUGAUGCACAUGCAUUAUUUGACUAUCCAUUUGGGGAUAUUCUUUAUGUAUAAACGUAUGAUACACAUAAACAACCUCUUUUGACAUUUAAUGGAUGAUCUCAACUUUAUUGCUUGUGUUAGCUAGAAGUUGCUAUUUAACAUCAGGUCUGGAUUAUUGAUUGAUAUUAUAUUCCUUUCUAGCUUUCUACUUAACUUCAUUCCAGAUUGUUUAUUGUAUUUGAAACAAAAGUACACAAUAUAAAUCUCCAUGCUAAACUAAACAGAACUGAAACUCCCAAACAUGAAAGAGCCCUGCAGUCUAGCUUUAUUGAGUAAUCCUGAAGACCAGGAAUUGUGAACUUGAGAUCUAGAUCUCAAGAAAGUAGAUUAGAAGUCAUAAGGCGGCAAGCCUAGAUAUAUACUUAAUUGGGAAGCUUCCAUUUCAAACUGCAUAAUGAUCAAUUCUUGUUUUUUUUCCUUUUCCUCAAGUGAGAAGACAAUAUUGGUCUGUGAGUAAUAGACUCACACCAAUAGAUCAUGGUCAGGAAGUAAAAUCACAUCUUGUGGGGAGAAAGCUUCCAUAAGAGAGUUUAUUCAUUCUUUGUUAGGCCUAAAGUCAUUGCAUCUAGAUCGUAAUUAUGACAUAGGAUUUAUCUCACCUGAAUGAUAGAAUAUAUACAUUUCUAACCAAUAAACUCCAAUGAAUUCUUACUACAAGGUAGUAAGUCUUCUUCAUAAGCUUCAAUACCCUUCAGAUAAGAUUGUUGGAAACCCUCAAACAAAGCAUUCACCUCAAAUUAAUUUGAUUAUUAGAAACUACUUGUUGAGCUAAAUCGGUCAAAUCUAGAGCCAUCUCCAUUACGAUGGCAAACACUAAUAAAUGUUUGCUUUCCAUAUUACAAUUUUCACGUUUUCAAAAUCAAAUCUCUACUACGUGUUCGUUUGGUCCUCACUACAUAUAUUUCAACUAUCCAAGUGGUCACAUAUCUAAAUUUUUACUACUGACAUCAAAUCUUACCCUAUCCAUUCAUUUAUCACUGGUCAAAGACCUAACAAAUUUCAUUCCUCACAUCACAUAAAGUAGAAUGAUAAAUUGUCAAAAAUGAAAAUGGGAAAGUUUCUUCCAAAAGCAUACAGCCAGCAAUAUCACAACAAAAUAGAAUUUAAGCUUACAUGAGAUAUACUUUCAUGGAUGGCUGCUCUCUCCUGUAGAAAUGGCAUCCUUGGAGACAUACUCCCAAAGACCUGCAUGAAGGAGAGUAACACAAUCUUAGUUUUGUAAAGCAAGACAACAAUAAGAGUAAAAACAAAUAUAGAAAGAAGAAAAAUUACAGUUACCAUAAUUAGGAGAUAAGGAGAAUAUUUAAUCCAGGCUUACCUUAUAAUGGC
Long non-coding RNA from Carya illinoinensis, 1944 nucleotides. RefSeq lists it as uncharacterized. The record is from RefSeq and is a predicted model, not a curated record. NCBI's taxonomy places the organism in Eukaryota, Viridiplantae, Streptophyta, Magnoliopsida, Fagales, Juglandaceae. The transcript has 2 exons.